GGAAGUGAGGGCGAUCUGGCUGUGACAUCUGUCGCCCCAUUGAUCACCAGGGUUGAUUCGGCUGAUCUGGCUGGCUAGGCAGGUGUCCUCUUCCUCCCUCACUGCUCCAUGUGCAUCCUUUCCAAAGCUGUGUGCUCUGUCAAACAGAACAACCACCUUGGAUAGAGGAAGACCGUUUCCUCGAGAAGGGUAUAUGAGGAGUAGCUGUGCUCCCUGGUGAGAACCUCCAAACAAGCUCUCAAGGUCUGUAUUUUAUUUUUUAUUGAGAGACAGGGUCUCAUUAAAUUUACUAAGUUGCCCAGGCUAGAUUUGAACUUGUGAUCCUACUGCCUCAGCCU
Non-coding RNA from Heterocephalus glaber (naked mole-rat), 338 nucleotides. The record is from Rfam. Lineage: Eukaryota; Metazoa; Chordata; Mammalia; Rodentia; Bathyergidae.